GAUGAACGCUGGCGGCGUGCCUAAUACAUGCAAGUCGAGCGAACAGACGAGGAGCUUGCUCCUCUGACGUUAGCGGCGGACGGGUGAGUAACACGUGGAUAACCUACCUAUAAGACUGGGAUAACUUCGGGAAACCGGAGCUAAUACCGGAUAAUAUAUCGAACCGCAUGGUUCAAUAGUGAAAGAUGGCUUUGCUGUCACUUAUAGAUGGAUCCGCGCCGCAUUAGCUAGUUGGUAAGGUAACGGCUUACCAAGGCAACGAUGCGUAGCCGACCUGAGAGGGUGAUCGGCCACACUGGAACUGAGACACGGUCCAGACUCCUACGGGAGGCAGCAGUAGGGAAUCUUCCGCAAUGGGCGAAAGCCUGACGGAGCAACGCCGCGUGAGUGAUGAAGGUCUUCGGAUCGUAAAACUCUGUUAUUAGGGAAGAACAAAUGUGUAAGUAACUGUGCACGUCUUGACGGUACCUAAUCAGAAAGCCACGGCUAACUACGUG
Molecule: ribosomal RNA, 497 nt
Filed under: uncultured bacterium
Lineage: Bacteria
Description: partial 16S ribosomal RNA
Rfam family: Bacterial small subunit ribosomal RNA
Source: RNAcentral